RNAcentral lists this unclassified non-coding RNA (312 nucleotides) under Hevea brasiliensis (rubber tree). The record is from RNAcentral. Lineage: Eukaryota; Viridiplantae; Streptophyta; Magnoliopsida; Malpighiales; Euphorbiaceae.
CUCUUCAUCUUGAAGCAGCCAAGGCCUUGGAGCAAAUCGACGGCAUGGUUUUGCCCGGAUGCCUUCCCUGGCAGAAAAUAAGAUGUGAGCGACUGUUUCACAGCUCUGUUUCCUGUCCUGCAGCAGUUUAUCAUGUCAUCAGGAACCAGCUGGAUUUUUUACUUGCUAGCCUCCGCCAAAGAAAGGUUGGAAAAUGCGAGCUACAGAGAAAUGAUAACGGUUCCUAUACAGUUAGGAUAUCUGCUACUGCCACCAAAGUUGUGGCAGAUUUGAGAAGGCCACUGGAGCAACUUAUGAAAGGCAAGAUUGUAG